RNAcentral lists this ribosomal RNA (253 nucleotides) under uncultured bacterium. RNAcentral's name for it is "partial 16S ribosomal RNA". It matches the Rfam family "Bacterial small subunit ribosomal RNA", at positions 524 to 776 of the family's 1533-position model. The record is from RNAcentral.
UGCGUAGGGGGCAAGCGUUGUCCGGAUUUAUUGGGCGUAAAGAGCGUGUAGGCGGCCAGGUAGGUCUGCUGUGAAAACUCGAGGCUCAACCUCGAGCUGUCGGCGGAAACCAUCUGGCUAGAGUCCGGAAGAGGAGAGUGGAAUUCCUGGUGUAGCGGUGAAAUGCGCAGAUAUCAGGAAGAACACCCGUGGCGAAGGCGGCUCUCUGGGACGGUACUGACGCUGAGACGCGAAAGCGUGGGGAGCGAACAGG